Molecule: unclassified non-coding RNA, 250 nt
Filed under: Hevea brasiliensis (rubber tree)
Lineage: Eukaryota; Viridiplantae; Streptophyta; Magnoliopsida; Malpighiales; Euphorbiaceae
Source: RNAcentral
ACUUCCUCUCUUUCCCUGCACCUGCAAAUCAAACCUUCUUCCAUUUUUAGAGAUGUGAACGAGUUUACAGUUGGAUGGAACGAACAUUUAUUAACCCCUUGGUAAAAUUUUACAAAAUUAAGCACAAAUAGGAGAGUGCUUUUGUCGGAAACUUUACAGCAAUAUCUAAGGGAGAAUUCCCUUCCGCCAUCUUAAGAGUGUUUGUGUACAUGGAGGGAAUUGAAUAGCCUUUCUUUUUCUGGCAUUUUGG